This 258-nucleotide ribosomal RNA is filed under the name uncultured bacterium. Its description in RNAcentral is "partial 16S ribosomal RNA". It matches the Rfam family "Bacterial small subunit ribosomal RNA", at positions 96 to 354 of the family's 1533-position model. The record is from RNAcentral.
CGGCGGACGGGUGAGUAACGCGUGGGCAACCUGCCUUACACAGGGGGAUAACAGUUAGAAAUGACUGCUAAUACCGCAUAAGACCACGAAGCCGCAUGGCUAAGUGGUAAAAACUCCGGUGGUGUAAGAUGGGCCCGCGUCUGAUUAGGUAGUUGGCGGGGUAACGGCCCACCAAGCCGACGAUCAGUAGCCGACCUGAGAGGGUGACCGGCCACAUUGGGACUGAGACACGGCCCAGACUCCUACGGAAGGCAGCAG